This 253-nucleotide ribosomal RNA is filed under the name uncultured bacterium. Its description in RNAcentral is "partial 16S ribosomal RNA". It matches the Rfam family "Bacterial small subunit ribosomal RNA", at positions 524 to 776 of the family's 1533-position model. The record is from RNAcentral.
UACGUAGGGUGCAAGCGUUGUCCGGAAUUAUUGGGCGUAAAGAGCUCGUAGGCGGUCUGUCGCGUCGGCUGUGAAAACCCGGAGCUCAACUCCGGGCCUGCAGUCGAUACGGGCAGACUGGAGUUCGGCAGGGGAGACUGGAAUUCCUGGUGUAGCGGUGAAAUGCGCAGAUAUCAGGAGGAACACCGGUGGCGAAGGCGGCUCUCUGGACGGUGACUGACGCUGAGACGCGAAAGCGUGGGGAGCAAACAGG